CAACAGAGGGAUGCAAUACCGUGAGGUGGGAGCGAACCCCUAAAAAUCGUCCCAGUUCAGAUUGCAGUCUGCAACUCGACUGCAUGAAGUCGGAAUCGCUAGUAAUCGCGGAUCAGCAUGCCGCGGUGAAUACGUUCCCGGGCCUUGUACACACCGCCCGUCACACCAUGAGAGUCGGGAACACCCGAAGUCCGUAGCCUAACCGCAAGGGGGGCGCGGCCGAAGGUGGGUUCGAUAAUUGGGGUGAAGUCGUAACAAGGUAAC
This 264-nucleotide ribosomal RNA is filed under the name uncultured bacterium. RNAcentral's name for it is "partial 16S ribosomal RNA". It matches the Rfam family "Bacterial small subunit ribosomal RNA", at positions 1237 to 1500 of the family's 1533-position model. The record is from RNAcentral.